Molecule: long non-coding RNA, 1080 nt
Filed under: Monodelphis domestica (gray short-tailed opossum)
Lineage: Eukaryota; Metazoa; Chordata; Mammalia; Didelphimorphia; Didelphidae
Description: lncRNA (ENSMODG00000049128.1)
Source: RNAcentral
GUGGAUGGCAAACUCUCUUACCAUAAGGGAUCUUUACUCCCAGUUGAUAUUAUACUCUGACUCCUAAAAACAGGAUUUCAGAAACAUUUCAUUCCCUUAAUCCUUCCACAAUCUUGGGAAAGUGGGAAGGACACCAGGAGGACUAUAUUCUAAUAUAUUAUCAGAAAACAUUUUUCUAUCAAUUUUGUCUGGUAUAAUAAAAUAUGUAUAAUGACUGGAUGGAUUGCUUGUGUAAUAAUGAUGUAAGGCAUGCAUGUUGUUAAUUAUUUGUCAUUGCUCAGUCUUCCAUGAAUUUCAGCAGCAUCUUAACUUGUCCUUCAUUGUUUUUCUUGACUACAGUCACAUACACAUCAGACAAGCUUAAAAUUGAGUAAGCAUCCUUUUCAAAAAGAUUUCCGGAUUUGUCUGUUCAAGCUGUGGAGUUGAGAAACAGUUGCCUUCUUCACUUAUGUAUUGGAAGGAAUGAGUUGAUUUCCAAGCCACCCACUAUCUUCAGUGCCUGCAAUGCAUUCCCUCUUCACCUCUUCACCCUCAUAUCUAAGAAGCCCUGCGUUCCUUCUAGACUCAUCUCAAGUAAGUAUAUUAUUGUUCAGUUGUUUUUCAGUGGUGUCUGAUUCUUCCUGACCCUUUUUGGUGUUUUCUUGGCAAAGAUACUAGAGUGCUUUGCCAUUUCCUUCUCCUCCUCAUUUUAAAGAUGAGAAAACUGAGGCAAAUAAGGUUAAGUGACUUGCCCAGGGUCACACAGCUAGUAAGUGACUGAGACCAGAUUUGAAUUCAGAAAUAUAAGUCUUCUUGACUAUAGGUCCUACAUGUUCUUCAUCGCAUCAUCAAACCGUCCUGGCUCAAUCAAGUAUGACUCUUCUACCUGAAACUUAUUCUGAUCCUUUCCUAACAGCUACCUAUGUCUCUUUCUCCAAAAUUAUUUUAUCUAUUUUGGGCAUAUUCUGUAUAUAAAUCUAUGUAUAUGUUUUCUCCUCUGGGUAGAUUAUAAGAUCUUCAAGGACAGCAAGAAUUUCAUUUUUGGCAUUGCAUCCCUGGCGAUAUAUGAUUAUUGGUUGCUUGACUGUUGGCAUACAUGUG